UGGUGGGGUUCCCGAGCGGCCAAAGGGAGCAGACUGUAAAUCUGCCGUCACCGACUUCGGUGGUUCGAAUCCACCCCUAUCCACCA
This 86-nucleotide transfer RNA is filed under the name bioreactor metagenome. Its description in RNAcentral is "tRNA-Tyr". It matches the Rfam family "tRNA". From Rfam's summary of the family: Transfer RNA (tRNA) molecules are approximately 80 nucleotides in length. The record is from RNAcentral.